RNAcentral lists this ribosomal RNA (462 nucleotides) under uncultured bacterium. RNAcentral's name for it is "partial 16S ribosomal RNA". It matches the Rfam family "Bacterial small subunit ribosomal RNA", at positions 28 to 507 of the family's 1533-position model. The record is from RNAcentral.
GACGAACGCUGGCGGCGUGCUUAACACAUGCAAGUCGAGCGGUAAGGCCUUUCGGGGUACACGAGCGGCGAACGGGUGAGUAACACGUGCGUGAUCUUCCCUUCACUUCGGGAUAAGCCUGGGAAACUGGGUCUAAUACCGGAUAUGACCUCCUAUCGCAUGGGGGGUGGGGGAAAGAUUUAGCGGUGCAGGAUGGGCCCGCGGCCUAUCAGCUUGUUGGUGGGGUAAUGGCCUACCAAGGCGACGACGGGUAGCCGACCUGAGAGGGUGACCGGCCACACUGGGACUGAGACACGGCCCAGACUCCUACGGGAGGCAGCAGUGGGGAAUAUUGCACAAUGGGCGAAAGCCUGAUGCAGCGACGCCGCGUGAGGGAUGACGGCCUUCGGGUUGUAAACCUCUUUCAGCAGGGACGAAGCGCAAGUGACGGUACCUGCAGAAGAAGCACCGGCUAACUACGUG